This 104-nucleotide small nuclear RNA is filed under the name Castor canadensis (American beaver). Lineage: Eukaryota; Metazoa; Chordata; Mammalia; Rodentia; Castoridae. The record is from RNAcentral.
AGGGAUGUGCUCACUUCCACAUCAUUAAAGCUGGAAUGAUACAGAGAAGUUUAGCAUGGCCCUGUGUGGGGAAGACAUAAACUAAUGAAGUGUUUUGUGUUUUU